Molecule: long non-coding RNA, 690 nt
Filed under: Glycine max (soybean)
Lineage: Eukaryota; Viridiplantae; Streptophyta; Magnoliopsida; Fabales; Fabaceae
Description: long non-coding RNA (GMAX_LNC000231)
Source: RNAcentral
UCUCCUCCGAUUUUAUUUUAGGCCCAGUUAUAUCCAUUUUAGAUGUAUGGUUCAGACCAACUUAUUAUCACAAGAUAUUAAAUUCAUUUUCUAAUGUCUGUUGAGACAAAUGUUCAGCUACACUGUUAGCUGGAGGUUUUUUUUCUUUUCUGGAACAAUGGUAUAAAUAUUAACUAAUGAAUAUUAGAUGAUUAAGUACAUAGCAAUAGCAUAGCGACGAAAUGGACAAAACAAAAUUUCCUUUGGCACUUUACAUACAUCUAAAACUGGAGGUAGCUAACUGAUAAGGGAAAAAAACCAAUAAAAGAAAACAUAUAUGUUUCCUUGGAGAAGGAGCGCUAAGUAAAAGGGAAUACGAAUUACAUGGGAGCAUGAACAGGUAGAUGAAGUAGUACAAUAAGAACUAAUCCUGGUUGAAGCGACUAGCUAGUUUUUCCUUGGAGAAUUCAAGCCCGACGAAGAGGCUCUGGAAAUCACAGAGAUGAUCGAAUGAAAAGCAUUGGCUGCUAUCUUUGACUUUAUCUGCCCUCUUUUUGGAAGUGGCUUUUGGCUUCUAAACCUGUUCCUGUUGGCAAAUUCAGCAGCUGAAACACGACCCAUUCUGUUGUUCAUUCUCUCAAACAAAUUAAACUGAUCAAUCAAUAUCUUUUGAAUGUAGGUAGCAAGUGUUUUUCUGAUAAGAAGAAUGUA